GACGUAGGGCGCGAGCGUUGUCCGGAUUUAUUGGGCGUAAAGAGCUCGUAGGCGGCUUGUCGCGUCGUCCGUGAAAACCCGGGGCUCAACCCCGGGCUUGCGGUCGAUACGGUCAGGCUCGAGUUCGGUAGGGGAGACUGGAAUUUACGGUGUAGCAGUGAAAUGCGUAGAUAUCGUAAGGAAGACCAGUGGCGAAGGCGGGUCUCUGGACAGUUCCUGACACCGAGACACGAAGGCCAGGGGAGCAAACGGG
This 253-nucleotide ribosomal RNA is filed under the name uncultured bacterium. RNAcentral describes it as "partial 16S ribosomal RNA". It matches the Rfam family "Bacterial small subunit ribosomal RNA", at positions 524 to 776 of the family's 1533-position model. The record is from RNAcentral.